Molecule: ribosomal RNA, 468 nt
Filed under: uncultured bacterium
Lineage: Bacteria
Description: partial 16S ribosomal RNA
Rfam family: Bacterial small subunit ribosomal RNA
Source: RNAcentral
GACGAACGCUGGCGGCGUGCUUAACACAUGCAAGUCGAACGGUAAGGCCCUGCCUUGUUGGUGUGCUCGAGUGGCGAACGGGUGAGUAACACGUGAGUAACCUGCCCUUGACUUUGGGAUAACUUCAGGAAACUGUGGCUAAUACCGGAUAGGAGCUCCUGCUGCAUGGUGUGGGUUUGAAAGUUGCGGCGGGUGGGGAUGGACUCGCGGCUGAGCAGCUUGUUGGUGGGGUAGUGGCUGACCCAGGCUUUGGCGGGUAGCCGGCCUGAGAGGGUGACCGGGCACAUUGGGACUGGGAUACGGGCCAGAGUCGUACGGGAGGAAGGAGUGGGGAAUAUUGCACAAUAGGCCGAAGCCGGAUGCAGGAACGCCGCGUGCGGGAUGACGGUCUUCGGGUUGUAACCAGCUUUCGCGUGUGACGAAGCGUGUGUGACGGUAACGUAUAAAGAAGCACCGGCUAACUACGUG